AACGAACGCUGGCGGCAUGCCUAACACAUGCAAGUCGAACGAGACCUUCGGGUCUAGUGGCGCACGGGUGCGUAACGCGUGGGAACCUUCCCUUAGGUUCGGAAUAACUCCCCGAAAGGGGUGCUAAUACCGGAUAAUGUCUUCGGACCAAAGAUUUAUCGCCUUUGGAUGGGCCCGCGUUGGAUUAGCUAGUUGGGAGGGUAAAAGCCUACCAAGGUGACGAUCCAUAGCUGGUCUGAGAGGGUGAUCAGCCACACUGGGAGUGAGAAACGGCCCAGACACCUAGACUAGGAAGCAGUACGGAAUCCUCCGGGAGGGGGGAGAGGGGAAUGGUGGAACAUGGGGGAAGGGAUGAUGGAGCAAGGACGGGAGAGUGAUGAAGGCAGUAAGGUAGAAAAGCGCUAGUAACCGGGAUGAUAAUGACAGUACCGGGAGAAUAAGCCCCGGCUAACUACGUG
Molecule: ribosomal RNA, 458 nt
Filed under: uncultured bacterium
Lineage: Bacteria
Description: partial 16S ribosomal RNA
Rfam family: Bacterial small subunit ribosomal RNA
Source: RNAcentral